RNAcentral lists this ribosomal RNA (331 nucleotides) under Maudiozyma humilis. Its description in RNAcentral is "Kazachstania humilis partial large subunit ribosomal RNA". It matches the Rfam family "Eukaryotic large subunit ribosomal RNA", at positions 86 to 414 of the family's 3401-position model. The record is from RNAcentral. Lineage: Eukaryota; Fungi; Ascomycota; Saccharomycetes; Saccharomycetales; Saccharomycetaceae.
ACGGCGAGUGAAGCGGCAAAAGCUCAAAUUUGAAAUCUGGUACCUUCGGUGCCCGAGUUGUAAUUUGUAGAGGGCGACUUUGGGGCGGCUCCUUGUCUAUGUUCCUUGGAACAGGACGUCAUAGAGGGUGAGAAUCCCGUGUGGCGAGGAGUGCGGUUCCGUGUAAAGCGCUCUCGAAGAGUCGAGUUGUUUGGGAAUGCAGCUCUAAGUGGGUGGUAAAUUCCAUCUAAAGCUAAAUAUUGGCGAGAGACCGAUAGCGAACAAGUACAGUGAUGGAAAGAUGAAAAGAACUUUGAAAAGAGAGUGAAAAAGUACGUGAAAUUGUUGAAAG